RNAcentral lists this ribosomal RNA (443 nucleotides) under uncultured bacterium. RNAcentral describes it as "partial 16S ribosomal RNA". It matches the Rfam family "Bacterial small subunit ribosomal RNA", at positions 338 to 795 of the family's 1533-position model. The record is from RNAcentral.
CCUACGGGAGGCAGCAGUGGGGAAUAUUGGACAAUGGGGGGAACCCUGAUCCAGCGACGCCGCGUGAGUGAAGAAGUAUUUCGGUAUGUAAAGCUCUAUCAGCAGGGAAGAAAGAAAUGACGGUACCUGACUAAGAAGCCCCGGCUAACUACGUGCCAGCAGCCGCGGUAAUACGUAGGGGGCAAGCGUUAUCCGGAUUUACGGGGGGAAAAGGGAGCGUAGACGGCGAUGCAAGUCUGAAGUGAAAGGCGGGGGCCCAACCCCUGGACUGCUUUGGAAACUGUAUGGCUGGAGUGCAGGAGGGGGAAGUGGAAUUCCUAGUGUAGCGGGGAAAGGCGGAGAUAUUAGGAGGAACACCAGUGGCGAAGGCGGCUUACUGGACUGUAACUGACGUUGAGGCUCGAAGGGGGGGGGAGCAAACAGGAUUAGAUACCCCUGGAGUC